UACAGAGGUCUCGAGCGUUAGGCGGAAUCACUGGGCUUAAAGCGUGUGUAGGCGGAUUGCUAAGUACCUUGUGAAAUCCCACGGCUUAACCGUGGAACUGCUUGGUAUACUGGCUGUCUUGAGCCACUUAGGGGCGACCGGAACAAACGGUGGAGCGGUGAAAUGCGUAGAUAUCGUUUGGAACGCCAAAGGUGAAAACAGGUCGCUGGGAGUGUGCUGACGCUGAGACACGAAAGCGUGGGUAGCAAACAGG
Molecule: ribosomal RNA, 253 nt
Filed under: uncultured bacterium
Lineage: Bacteria
Description: partial 16S ribosomal RNA
Rfam family: Bacterial small subunit ribosomal RNA
Source: RNAcentral